UACGAAGGGGGCUAGCGUUGUUCGGAAUUACUGGGCGUAAAGCGCGCGCAGGCGGUCUUCCAAGUCAGUGGUGAAAGCCCGGAGCUCAACUCCGGAACUGCCAUUGAAACUGUUGGACUUGAGUACGAGAGAGGUGAGUGGAAUUCCCAGUGUAGAGGUGAAAUUCGUAGAUAUUGGGAAGAACACCGGUGGCGAAGGCGGCUCACUGGCUCGUAACUGACGCUCAGGCGCGACAGCGUGGGGAUCGAAACAAGG
This 255-nucleotide ribosomal RNA is filed under the name uncultured bacterium. Its description in RNAcentral is "partial 16S ribosomal RNA". It matches the Rfam family "Bacterial small subunit ribosomal RNA", at positions 524 to 777 of the family's 1533-position model. The record is from RNAcentral.